Molecule: ribosomal RNA, 2900 nt
Filed under: Escherichia coli
Lineage: Bacteria; Pseudomonadati; Pseudomonadota; Gammaproteobacteria; Enterobacterales; Enterobacteriaceae
Description: 23S ribosomal RNA
Rfam family: Bacterial large subunit ribosomal RNA
Source: RNAcentral
UUAAGCGACUAAGCGUACACGGUGGAUGCCCUGGCAGUCAGAGGCGAUGAAGGACGUGCUAAUCUGCGAUAAGCGUCGGUAAGGUGAUAUGAACCGUUAUAACCGGCGAUUUCCGAAUGGGGAAACCCAGUGUGUUUCGACACACUAUCAUUAACUGAAUCCAUAGGUUAAUGAGGCGAACCGGGGGAACUGAAACAUCUAAGUACCCCGAGGAAAAGAAAUCAACCGAGAUUCCCCCAGUAGCGGCGAGCGAACGGGGAGGAGCCCAGAGCCUGAAUCAGUGUGUGUGUUAGUGGAAGCGUCUGGAAAGGCGCGCGAUACAGGGUGACAGCCCCGUACACAAAAAUGCACAUGCUGUGAGCUCGAUGAGUAGGGCGGGACACGUGGUAUCCUGUCUGAAUAUGGGGGGACCAUCCUCCAAGGCUAAAUACUCCUGACUGACCGAUAGUGAACCAGUACCGUGAGGGAAAGGCGAAAAGAACCCCGGCGAGGGGAGUGAAAAAGAACCUGAAACCGUGUACGUACAAGCAGUGGGAGCACGCUUAGGCGUGUGACUGCGUACCUUUUGUAUAAUGGGUCAGCGACUUAUAUUCUGUAGCAAGGUUAACCGAAUAGGGGAGCCGAAGGGAAACCGAGUCUUAACUGGGCGUUAAGUUGCAGGGUAUAGACCCGAAACCCGGUGAUCUAGCCAUGGGCAGGUUGAAGGUUGGGUAACACUAACUGGAGGACCGAACCGACUAAUGUUGAAAAAUUAGCGGAUGACUUGUGGCUGGGGGUGAAAGGCCAAUCAAACCGGGAGAUAGCUGGUUCUCCCCGAAAGCUAUUUAGGUAGCGCCUCGUGAAUUCAUCUCCGGGGGUAGAGCACUGUUUCGGCAAGGGGGUCAUCCCGACUUACCAACCCGAUGCAAACUGCGAAUACCGGAGAAUGUUAUCACGGGAGACACACGGCGGGUGCUAACGUCCGUCGUGAAGAGGGAAACAACCCAGACCGCCAGCUAAGGUCCCAAAGUCAUGGUUAAGUGGGAAACGAUGUGGGAAGGCCCAGACAGCCAGGAUGUUGGCUUAGAAGCAGCCAUCAUUUAAAGAAAGCGUAAUAGCUCACUGGUCGAGUCGGCCUGCGCGGAAGAUGUAACGGGGCUAAACCAUGCACCGAAGCUGCGGCAGCGACACUGUGUGUUGUUGGGUAGGGGAGCGUUCUGUAAGCCUGUGAAGGUGUACUGUGAGGUAUGCUGGAGGUAUCAGAAGUGCGAAUGCUGACAUAAGUAACGAUAAAGCGGGUGAAAAGCCCGCUCGCCGGAAGACCAAGGGUUCCUGUCCAACGUUAAUCGGGGCAGGGUGAGUCGACCCCUAAGGCGAGGCCGAAAGGCGUAGUCGAUGGGAAACAGGUUAAUAUUCCUGUACUUGGUGUUACUGCGAAGGGGGGACGGAGAAGGCUAUGUUGGCCGGGCGACGGUUGUCCCGGUUUAAGCGUGUAGGCUGGUUUUCCAGGCAAAUCCGGAAAAUCAAGGCUGAGGCGUGAUGACGAGGCACUACGGUGCUGAAGCAACAAAUGCCCUGCUUCCAGGAAAAGCCUCUAAGCAUCAGGUAACAUCAAAUCGUACCCCAAACCGACACAGGUGGUCAGGUAGAGAAUACCAAGGCGCUUGAGAGAACUCGGGUGAAGGAACUAGGCAAAAUGGUGCCGUAACUUCGGGAGAAGGCACGCUGAUAUGUAGGUGAAGUCCCUUGCGGAUGGAGCUGAAAUCAGUCGAAGAUACCAGCUGGCUGCAACUGUUUAUUAAAAACACAGCACUGUGCAAACACGAAAGUGGACGUAUACGGUGUGACGCCUGCCCGGUGCCGGAAGGUUAAUUGAUGGGGUCAGCGCAAGCGAAGCUCUUGAUCGAAGCCCCGGUAAACGGCGGCCGUAACUAUAACGGUCCUAAGGUAGCGAAAUUCCUUGUCGGGUAAGUUCCGACCUGCACGAAUGGCGUAAUGAUGGCCAGGCUGUCUCCACCCGAGACUCAGUGAAAUUGAACUCGCUGUGAAGAUGCAGUGUACCCGCGGCAAGACGGAAAGACCCCGUGAACCUUUACUAUAGCUUGACACUGAACAUUGAGCCUUGAUGUGUAGGAUAGGUGGGAGGCUUUGAAGUGUGGACGCCAGUCUGCAUGGAGCCGACCUUGAAAUACCACCCUUUAAUGUUUGAUGUUCUAACGUGGACCCGUGAUCCGGGUUGCGGACAGUGUCUGGUGGGUAGUUUGACUGGGGCGGUCUCCUCCUAAAGAGUAACGGAGGAGCACGAAGGUUGGCUAAUCCUGGUCGGACAUCAGGAGGUUAGUGCAAUGGCAUAAGCCAGCUUGACUGCGAGCGUGACGGCGCGAGCAGGUGCGAAAGCAGGUCAUAGUGAUCCGGUGGUUCUGAAUGGAAGGGCCAUCGCUCAACGGAUAAAAGGUACUCCGGGGAUAACAGGCUGAUACCGCCCAAGAGUUCAUAUCGACGGCGGUGUUUGGCACCUCGAUGUCGGCUCAUCACAUCCUGGGGCUGAAGUAGGUCCCAAGGGUAUGGCUGUUCGCCAUUUAAAGUGGUACGCGAGCUGGGUUUAGAACGUCGUGAGACAGUUCGGUCCCUAUCUGCCGUGGGCGCUGGAGAACUGAGGGGGGCUGCUCCUAGUACGAGAGGACCGGAGUGGACGCAUCACUGGUGUUCGGGUUGUCAUGCCAAUGGCACUGCCCGGUAGCUAAAUGCGGAAGAGAUAAGUGCUGAAAGCAUCUAAGCACGAAACUUGCCCCGAGAUGAGUUCUCCCUGACCCUUUAAGGGUCCUGAAGGAACGUUGAAGACGACGACGUUGAUAGGCCGGGUGUGUAAGCGCAGCGAUGCGUUGAGCUAACCGGUACUAAUGAACCGUGAGGCUUAACCU